This 498-nucleotide ribosomal RNA is filed under the name uncultured bacterium. RNAcentral describes it as "partial 16S ribosomal RNA". It matches the Rfam family "Bacterial small subunit ribosomal RNA", at positions 30 to 523 of the family's 1533-position model. The record is from RNAcentral.
AUUGAACGCUGGCGGCAUGCCUUACACAUGCAAGUCGAACGGUAACGGGCCUUCGGGUGCCGACGAGUGGCGAACGGGUGAGUAAUGUAUCGGAACGUACCUUUCAGUGGGGGAUAACGUAGCGAAAGUUACGCUAAUACCGCAUAUCCUGUGAGCAGGAAAGCAGGGGAUCGCAAGACCUUGCGCUGUUUGAGCGGCCGAUAGCAGAUUAGCUAGUUGGUGGGGUAAAGGCUCACCAAGGCGACGAUCUGUAGCGGGUCUGAGAGGAUGAUCGGCCACACUGGAACUGAGACACGGUCCAGACUCCUACGGGAGGCAGCAGUGGGGAAUUUUGGGCAAUGGGGGCAACCCUGAUCCAGCCAUGCCGCGUGAGUGAAGAAGGCCUUCGGGUUGUAAAGCUCUUUCGGCCGGGAAGAAAUCGUAUCAGCUAAUACCUGGUGCGGAUGACGGUACCGGCAUAAGAAGCACCGGCUAACUACGUGCCAGCCGCCGCAGUAA